GUCGUACGAGAGUUUUUACUCAAGUGGCGGACGGGUGAGUAACACGUAAGAAUUUGCCUUUAGGAGGGGGAUAACAACUGGAAACGGUUGCUAAUACCCCAUAUGCUUUCGAGUGAAAUGGUUUUUCCGCCUAAAGAGAAGCUUGCGGCUGAUUAGCUUGUUGGGGAGGUAAUGGCUCACCAAGGCGACGAUCAGUAUCUGGUUUGAGAGGACGAUCAGACACACUGGAACUGAGACACGGUCCAGACUCCUACGGGAGGCAGCAGUGGGGAAUUUUCCGCAAUGGGCGAAAGCCUGACGGAGCAAUACCGCGUGAGGGAUGACGGCCUAUGGGUUGUAAACCUCUUUUUUCAGGGAGGAAUAAAUGACGUGUACCUGAGGAAUAAGCAUCGGCUAACUCCGUGCCAGCAGCCGCGGUAAUACG
RNAcentral lists this ribosomal RNA (424 nucleotides) under uncultured bacterium. RNAcentral describes it as "bacterial SSU rRNA". It matches the Rfam family "Bacterial small subunit ribosomal RNA", at positions 61 to 527 of the family's 1533-position model. The record is from RNAcentral.